AUGAAACGCAGCGUAUCAAGUGCAUAUGCUCCGUUUAUGGGCUUAAUGACGUUCAUUUGCUAAGGCCCUGGAAGAGAGAAUUGUUGGUGACCUAAUGUCUUCUCCGUAAGUACGGCGGCGAUAAUGUUCGUUGUCGGUUUCUCUGUAACGCUUCGCGACUUAACUCACAUUAAGAGACUUUCAAUGCGUCGUUCUGUCUGCGAGAUCUGUAAUCUCCGUAUAUAUAUAGGAUAGAGUGAUAUACAAAAAAAGGAAAAUGGAAAGCGUAGCCAUAUCAGAGCAUUUGAUCAAACUCCUCCGUCCUCCCUGUUGCACAACCUUACGCAUUUGAUAUGGUGGGUUAUGUCAUCUACGACAUUGGAUGGGAAGCCAUACCAGAGAAGAGUCUUCUACAACGGAACCAUUGAGGUACUCUGGAGGUCUUCUCACUGGUGAGUCUGUCUUUCUUUUAACACUUGGGAUUCCUCUCCUCCUCCUUCUUGGUCUAUGGGCAUACAGCUAAGUACAACGUAUCACCAAGGUUUUCCCAUCCUGUUUUGAGAAUUUUCAAAUUGUGUGUGUUUACAGUCCUAUGUUGUGGAAUUUUAUCUGACAAUCUCCCUCUGUUACCAGAAAACCAAAAAGGUAUCAAAGGUGGAAGUAGGAACAAAGUUCUACGUACGCAUCACUUGACGAGUGGCUCGAGGGACAUUUGGCAAAUAUAUUGCAAGAAAAUAGAAGAUCAAGAAGAAGUGAGAAAAAAAGAGAGCCUUUUAAGCUCCUUCACAGUUCUUAUAGACUUUAAGCUUUUUGGCAUUUUGAAAGAGUUUUGGAUUUCAGUCUAGAUGUUACUCUCUCUUUUUCUUAUGAAGAUUCUCCUUCAGUCACAGUAAUAAUGCUCAGAGUAAAUAAGUGGCUGCUUCAGCCCAAUUUCUCCGUAUUAUGUUUUAUUCUCUGUUUUGUCCUCUGUUUCUUUUUUGCCUUUGUUAUAUGUGUGUGUGUUCUUGAAAGAUCUAUGCAGAAUCAAAAACUAUCUUUUCUAAUCUUCAAGCUAAUAAAAAAGAUUAGUUACUUAUUUAA
Molecule: long non-coding RNA, 1059 nt
Organism: Brassica napus (rape)
Lineage: Eukaryota; Viridiplantae; Streptophyta; Magnoliopsida; Brassicales; Brassicaceae
Exons: 3
Source: RefSeq, a predicted model, not a curated record